This 311-nucleotide unclassified non-coding RNA is filed under the name Micromonospora sp. RNAcentral's name for it is "partial 16S-23S ribosomal RNA intergenic spacer". The record is from RNAcentral. Lineage: Bacteria; Bacillati; Actinomycetota; Actinomycetes; Micromonosporales; Micromonosporaceae.
GGAGCCCGCGCUGCCCGAAUGUGGUGGUGGGGUGCUCGAAUGGCGGAGACACUGGCAAGUUUUGCCUCGGCAACGGCCGGCGGCGCUUAGUACAGCCAUCUUCGGGUGGUGGGAACGGAUGCUGUUGGUGCGGCUGGGGGGGAAUGUAGAGCACCCUGUUGGGUCCUGAAAGAACAACCGUUGGUUGUUUCUUUCGGAGACUGGUCUGAGCCCCUGGUGGGGCUCAGAAGUCUGCCAGGCAUGGCCUGGCCUCACAUACCGCCGACUGUUGGGUUGGGUUUGGUGUGGGGCGGAUCGGGUUGUGGGUUGGU